GCAGCAGUGGGGAAUAUUGCACAAUGGGGGAAACCCUGAUGCAGCCAUGCCGCGUGUGUGAAGAAGGCCUUCGGGUUGUAAAGCACUUUCAGUUGUGAGGAAAGGUUGGUAGUUAAUACCUGCCAGCUGUGACGUUAACAACAGAAGAAGCACCGGCUAACUCCGUGCCAGCAGCCGCGGUAAUACGGAGGGUGCGAGCGUUAAUCGGAAUUACUGGGCGUAAAGCGCACGCAGGCGGUUUGUUAAGCUAGAUGUGAAAGCCCCGGGCUCAACCUGGGAUGGUCAUUUAGAACUGGCAGACUAGAGUCUUGGAGAGGGGAGUGGAAUUCCAGGUGUAGCGGUGAAAUGCGUAGAUAUCUGGAGGAACAUCAGUGGCGAAGGCGGCUCCCUGGCCAAAGACUGACGCUCAUGUGCGAAAGUGUGGGUAGCGAACAGGAUUAGAUACCCUGGUAGUCCACACCGUAAACGCUGUCUACUAGCUGUGUGUGAAUUUAAUUCGUGCGUAGCGAAGCUAACGCGCUAAGUAGACCGCCUGGGGAGUACGGCCGCAAGGUUAAAACUCAAAUGAAUUGACGGGGGCCCGCACAAGCGGUGGAGCAUGUGGUUUAYUUCGAUGCAACGCGAAGAACCUUACCUACACUUGACAUGCAGAGAACUUUCCAGAGAUGGAAUKGGUGCGUUCGGGAACUCUGACACAGGUGCUGCAUGGCUGUCGUCAGCUCGUGUCSUGAGAUGNUUGGGUUAAGUCCCGCAACAAGCGCNAACCCUUGUCCUUAGUUGCCAGCAUUUAGUUGGGCACUCUNAAGGRGACUGCCGGUGACAAACCGGAGGAAGGUGGGGACGACGUCRACUNCAUCAUGGCCCUUACGUGUAGGGNCUACACACGUGCUACANAUGGCAUAUACAGAGGGAAGCGAGACRGUGAUGCGGAGCGGACCCCUUAAAGUAUGUCGUAGUNCCGGAUUGGAGUCUGCAACUSGACUNCCAUGAAGUCGGAAUCGCUAGUAAUCGCAGGUCAGCAUAAUGCGGUGWAUACGUUCCCGGNNGCCUUGUACACAC
Molecule: ribosomal RNA, 1059 nt
Filed under: Alteromonas sp. LC309
Lineage: Bacteria; Pseudomonadati; Pseudomonadota; Gammaproteobacteria; Alteromonadales; Alteromonadaceae
Description: bacterial SSU rRNA
Rfam family: Bacterial small subunit ribosomal RNA
Source: RNAcentral